UACGUAGGGUGCAAGCGUUGUCCGGAAUUAUUGGGCGUAAAGAGCUCGUAGGCGGUCUGUCACGUCGGCUGUGAAAUCCCGAGGCUCAACCUCGGGUCUGCAGUCGAUACGGGCAAACUAGAGUAUUGCAGGGGAGACUGGAAUUCCUGGUGUAGCGGUGAAAUGCGCAGAUAUCAGGAGGAACACCGGUGGCGAAGGCGGGUCUCUAGUACGGUACUGACGCUGAGACGCGAAAGCGUGGGGAGCGAACAGG
RNAcentral lists this ribosomal RNA (253 nucleotides) under uncultured bacterium. RNAcentral's name for it is "partial 16S ribosomal RNA". It matches the Rfam family "Bacterial small subunit ribosomal RNA", at positions 524 to 776 of the family's 1533-position model. The record is from RNAcentral.